ACUACGGGUGGCAGCAGUGAGGAAUCUUGGUCAAUGGCCGGAAGGCUGAACCAGCCAUGCCGCGUGAAGGUCAGUGCCCUAUGGGCGUUAAACUUCUUUUGUGCGGGAGCAAUAAUGGUCACGUGUGGCCAGACGAGAGUACCGUACGAAUAAGCAUCGCCUAACUCCGUGCAAGCAGCCGCGGUAAUGCGGGGGAUGCAAGCGUUAUCCGGAUUUAUUGGGUUUAAAGUGUGGGUAGGCUGGGAGGGAAGUCAGCGGUGAAAUGCCCCGGCUAAACGGGGUGAAGUGCAAUUAGUACUGCCUGGCUGGAAUGCGGAUGCGGUAGGAGGAAUGUGUGGUGUAGCGGUGAAAUGCAUAGAUAUCACACAGAACACCGAUUGCGAAGGCAUCUUACGAAUCCGCGAUUGACGCUGAUGCACGAAAGCGUGGGUAUCAAACAGGAUUAGAUACCCUGGUAGUC
RNAcentral lists this ribosomal RNA (460 nucleotides) under uncultured bacterium. RNAcentral describes it as "partial 16S ribosomal RNA". It matches the Rfam family "Bacterial small subunit ribosomal RNA", at positions 338 to 795 of the family's 1533-position model. The record is from RNAcentral.